This 298-nucleotide small nuclear RNA is filed under the name Castor canadensis (American beaver). Its description in RNAcentral is "7SK RNA (ENSCCNG00000020966.1)". It matches the Rfam family "7SK RNA". From Rfam's summary of the family: 7SK was discovered as an abundant small nuclear RNA in the mid-70s but a possible function has only recently been suggested. Two independent studies have found that 7SK RNA binds the CDK9/cyclin T complex (known as elongation factor P-TEFb). P-TEFb activates transcription by phosphorylating the C-terminal domain of RNA polymerase II. Lineage: Eukaryota; Metazoa; Chordata; Mammalia; Rodentia; Castoridae. The record is from RNAcentral.
GGAUGUGAGGGCGAUCUGGCUGCAACAUCUGUCACCCCAUUGAUCGCCAGGGUUGAUUCGGCUGAUCUGGCUGGCUAGGCGGGUGUCCCCUUCCUCCCUCACUGCUCCAUGUGCGUUCCUCCCGAGGCUGUGUGCUCGGUCGAAGAGGACAGCCAUCCCCAAUAGAGGAGGACUGUUCUUCAGUCAAGGGUAUAUGAGUAGCUGUGCUUCCCUGCUAGAACCUCCAAACAAGCUCUAAGAAAUGGAACAGUACCAAUGACUUUAAGUCUUAUGUAUCCAUCCCUGCUUGAAUGUCUAC